UACGGAGGGUGCGAGCGUUAUCCGGAUUCACUGGGUUUAAAGGGUGCGUAGGCGGGCUGUUAAGUCAGUGGUGAAAUCAGCGGGCUCAACCUGCUAACUGCCAUUGAUACUGACAGUCUUGGAUGAGAGGGAGGCAGGCGGAAUAUUGCAUGUAGCGGUGAAAUGCUUAGAUAUGCAAUGGAACACCGAUUGCGAAGGCAGCUUGCUACUUCUUGAUCGACGCUGAGGCACGAAAGCGUGGGGAGCGAACAGGAUUAGAUACCCUGGUAGUCCACGCCCUAAACGAUGAUUACUCGACAUUGGCGAUAUACGGAUCAGUGUCUGAGCGAAAGCGUUAAGUAAUCCACCUGGGGAGUACGCCGGCAACGGUGAA
This 373-nucleotide ribosomal RNA is filed under the name uncultured bacterium. RNAcentral describes it as "bacterial SSU rRNA". It matches the Rfam family "Bacterial small subunit ribosomal RNA", at positions 524 to 898 of the family's 1533-position model. The record is from RNAcentral.